CCUACGCGUGGCAGCAGUGGGGAAUAUUGGGCAAUGGGCGCAAGCCUGACCCAGCAACGCCGCGUGAAGGAAGAAGGCCCUCGGGUUGUAAACUUCUUUUGUCAGGGACGAAGACAGUGACGGUCCCUGACGAAUAAGCCACGGCUAACUACGUGCCAGCAGCCGCGUGAAUACGUAGGUGGCAAGCGUUAUCCGGAUUUACUGGGUGUAAGGGGCGUGUAGGCGGGACUGCAAGUCAGAUGUGAAAUUCCAGGGCUCAACCCUGGAACUGCAUUUGAAACUGUAGUUCUUGAGUGAUGGAGAGGCAGGCGGAAUUCCGGGUGUAGCGGUGAAAUGCGUAGAUAUACGGAGGAACACCAGUGGCGAAGGCGGCCUGCUGGACAUUAACUGACGCUGAGGCGCGAAAGCGUGGGGAGCAAACAGGAUUAGAUACCCUUGUAGUC
RNAcentral lists this ribosomal RNA (443 nucleotides) under uncultured bacterium. Its description in RNAcentral is "partial 16S ribosomal RNA". It matches the Rfam family "Bacterial small subunit ribosomal RNA", at positions 338 to 795 of the family's 1533-position model. The record is from RNAcentral.